Triticum dicoccoides is the source of this 1092-nucleotide long non-coding RNA. RefSeq lists it as uncharacterized. The record is from RefSeq and is a predicted model, not a curated record. NCBI's taxonomy places the organism in Eukaryota, Viridiplantae, Streptophyta, Magnoliopsida, Poales, Poaceae. The transcript has 5 exons.
UUCUCCUUCCCCUCACUCUAUCGUUCCCCUCACUCUCUCCACUCCCUCUCCACUCCCGCAAAUCCCUAAUCUCGGCCGAGUCACCCACUCCACUCCCUCCGCUGUCGCCCCCACAGUCGCCAGAACCAGCGAACUCGUCUCCCACCGCCUCCCCCUCUCGUCCCCUCCCCUCUACUCAUCCGACGGCGCUGACCGCGCAGAUCGAGCGACCAGGCGGCGGCCACAUGCGCACACAACCGGCGACCAACAUCACGCAAAGGUCACCACCGCCGUCGCCGAAGGGCGGUCUUCUUCCACCUCGACGGACGAGCUUGCGCGCCAGGAGAGGAGCGGGGAUCCUGCGCUUCUUCCUCGCUCAGCGCCCCUGUCGCCACGCCAUGGAUGAACCUCCCUCUGCUCCCACCAAUGCCAUGUACCGAGCUCGCUCUCCUCCUCGAGAUAUUAUCCUCCAAGCUAUAUGAUAUGCACAACACAUGAUUUAUGGAACGAAAAGAGAUCAUGUCAUCCAGAUAAUUAGAUUUCACCGCAUGAUGUUCUUUACCCCAGCCGAGCAUAGUGUGCUGCCGCGCCGUCGAUUCCACGAAGUGGGCAGCCCGAGCCGAUUCCCCAAUGUGUCAACGACUACGUCCGCUGCGUGAUCCUGUGGGACAUGACCAAUCCACUGCCUCAUCAACACAUCGAGGGUGAAUUGAGUUCAGAUCUUUGAGCAAAGGAUUGCGAUUUUGUAGCUGCAUUGGGGCUAUUCUUUAUCAUUUGAACUCAUUGGUGCAUCACAACUUUCGCGAGCACUGGCUGACAAAUCGCUCGAGCAGGGAGUACUCCUCGGAAUAGUGAGAGCUAAGAAACAAGGGCUCCAUCGAUGCAUUAGUUCCUGGAGGAUCAGUUCCUGGAGCAUUUGUAAUCUCUACUCCUAGGAAUAGGGAUAGCUAAGAAACAAGGGCUCAACCAUCAGUUGGUGGAUCAUCAGUUCCUGGAGCAUUUGUAAUAUGUGCAUGCAUUGGUAAUGGAUUUGUUUGUAAUCAGUGUAAUCUGUGCAUACAUUCACGUUCUUGUGUAUUCACCUGGAGCAUUUGUAAUCUGUGCAUACAUUCA